UCCCACGUUCAGAUUGCAGUCUGCAACUCGACUGCAUGAAGUCGGAAUCGCUAGUAAUCGCGGAUCAGCAUGCCGCGGUGAAUACGUUCCCGGGCCUUGUACACACCGCCCGUCACACCAUGAGAGUCGGGAACACCCGAAGUCCGUAGCCUAACCGCAAGGGGGGCGCGGCCGAAGGUGGGUUCGAUAAUUGGGGUGAAGUCGUAACAAGGUACC
This 216-nucleotide ribosomal RNA is filed under the name uncultured bacterium. RNAcentral's name for it is "partial 16S ribosomal RNA". It matches the Rfam family "Bacterial small subunit ribosomal RNA", at positions 1285 to 1500 of the family's 1533-position model. The record is from RNAcentral.